GGAGAGAUGGCCGAGCGGCCGAAGGCGCACGCCUGGAAAGUGUGUAUACGGCAACGUAUCGAGGGUUCGAAUCCCUCUCUCUCCGCCA
This 88-nucleotide transfer RNA is filed under the name Methylobacter sp. Its description in RNAcentral is "tRNA-Ser". It matches the Rfam family "tRNA". From Rfam's summary of the family: Transfer RNA (tRNA) molecules are approximately 80 nucleotides in length. The record is from RNAcentral. RNAcentral also lists the same sequence under 2 other names. Lineage: Bacteria; Pseudomonadati; Pseudomonadota; Gammaproteobacteria; Methylococcales; Methylococcaceae.